Molecule: ribosomal RNA, 422 nt
Filed under: uncultured bacterium
Lineage: Bacteria
Description: bacterial SSU rRNA
Rfam family: Bacterial small subunit ribosomal RNA
Source: RNAcentral
UGAGGAAUAUUGGGCAAUGCCCGAAAGGGUGACCCAGCAACGCCGCGUGGAGGAUGAAGGUCGUAUGAUUGUAAACUCCUGUUAGAGGGGAAGAAUAACUAAGUUUGGAGCUUAGUAUGACUGUACCCUCAGAGAAAGCCCCGGCUAACUACGUGCCAGCAGCCGCGGUAAUACGUAGGGGGCAAGCGUUGUCCGGAUUUACUGGGUGUAAAGGGCGCGCAGGCGGAAUGGAAAGUCAGUGGUGAAAUCCUACAGCUUAACUGUAGAACUGCCUUUGAUACUUUCAUUCUUGAGUUCGGGAGAGAGAGACGGAAUUCCAGGUGUAGUGGUGAAAUACGUAGAUAUCUGGAAGAACACCAGUUGCGAAGGCGGUCUCUUGGUCCGAUACUGACGCUGAGGCGCGAAAGCGUGGGGAGCAAACA